AUACGUAGGGGGCGAGCGUUGUCCGGAAUGAUUGGGCGUAAAGGGCGCGUAGGCGGCCCGGUAAGUCUGGAGUGAAAGUCCUGUUUUUAAGAUGGGAAUUGCUUUGGAUACUGUCGGGCUUGAGUGCAGGAGAGGGAAGUGGAAUUCCCAGUGUAGCGGUGAAAUGCGUAGAGAUUGGGAGGAACACCAGUGGCGAAGGCGACUUACUGGACUGUAACUGACGCUGAGGCGCGAAAGUGUGGGGAGCAAACAGGAUUAGAUACCCUGGUAGUCCACACUGUAAACGAUGAAUGCUAGGUGUAAGAGGUAUCGACCCCUUUUGUGCCGGAGUCAACACAAUAAGCAUUCCGCCUGGGGAGUACGGCCGCAAGGUUGAAACUCAAAUGAAUUGACGGGG
RNAcentral lists this ribosomal RNA (397 nucleotides) under uncultured bacterium. RNAcentral describes it as "partial 16S ribosomal RNA". It matches the Rfam family "Bacterial small subunit ribosomal RNA", at positions 523 to 918 of the family's 1533-position model. The record is from RNAcentral.